UUUGGCCUGGUAGAGAGAGAAGAGAAGAAUAAUGUUCGAUUAAAAAUUGCAGUUUAAUACAGUUAGAUUUGCUAUAUAUAGAUAUGUGUGUCUAUAUUUGGUUUGUUAGACAAGUUAAAUGAAAGUGGUAAAGACUUUAAAUGGAAAAUAAUAAGGAUAAAGUGAAAGGAAGUGAGAUUUGGAGACAACGUGAUCAGUGAACUACAUAAGUGCUGAGUAAAAUUAUUUAAUUGUUUUUUGAAAAUUUAUUUAUCAGUUAUGGUUUCGUAGUGUAAAAUAAUGAAAUUAGUGUUGUUCUGUUGCUAUGCUGUGUUAUUUAAAAUAUUCUUACGUCAAUAUAUUUUAUACAUUUUUUUUUUAAUUUCGCACUUUUCUAACCUCAGCAAACGUAUUAGAAAUAGAGUUUAAUGUGUUUAUUCUAAGGUGUUACUAACCAAAGGUUAAUGAGGUUAAUUUCAAUGUGUUUAUAUGUGAAAAAUAAAACAAAUAUCUGACCAUUUAAGUACAACAUUAAAAAAUUAGUUGAUGCUAGGAAAAUUUUAUAAUAAUGGAAAUUUACAACUUUUUGAAAAAGUGUCUACUAUUGCUCAUUGUCUAAAGUCCACUGUAAAACAUUUUAAACAUUUAUUAAAUUCUUUUAAGGAAGAAAAUUUAUGAACAAAUUAACAGAAUUUAACUUGUAAAAUUUUUGUAUAAGAUGUUCCAUUCCCCGACCAUGAAGAAAUUCGAAUAGCAAUUAUAAACCGCUGGAUUGCCGGCCACGCUAUUCAACUACGGCGGCGAAGAAUUGAUAAGGUGCAUGCAUCAGCUUCUUUGCAGAAUAUGGUAUGGAAUCUCAGUGUGCUCUGCCCAAUCCAUAAGAAGGGGAGACCCCACAAUCUGCGCCAAUUACCGUGGUAUAAGUCUCCUCAAUAUCGCAUAUAAGGUCCUGUCGAGCAUAUUGUGUGAAAGACUACAGCGCGCCGUCAAUGAACUGAUUGAACUUUAUCAAUGUGGCUUUAGACCCGGAAAAUUCACCAUGGAUCAUAUAUUCACCAUGCGCCAAAUUUAGCAAAGGCCCGAGAGAGAAGAAUCGAUACAUACCACCCUUUUAUCGAUUUUAAAGCGAUAGUAAGAAAAGGAGAUGCUCCUAUGCUGAGAUGUCUAAAUUUGGUAUCCCCUCAAAACUACUACGGCUAUGUAAACUGACUUUGAGCAACAACAAAAGCUCCGUCAGGAUCGGGAAGGACCUCUCCGAGCCGUUCGAUAUCAAAAGAGGUUUCAGACAGGGAGACUCACUAUAGUGUGAAUUUUUCAAUAUAUAGCUGAAAAAAAUGAUACCAGCUGCAGAGCUAAAUAGAGAAGGUACAAUCUUCUAUAAGAGAGUACAGCUGCUGGCGUACGCCGAUGAUAUUAAUAUCAUUGAAAACAGCAACCCCGCUGUUAGUUCUGCUUCUUCCAGGCUGGGUAAGGAUGCGAAUCAUAUGGGAGUGGAGGUGAAUGAGGACGAGACGAAAUAUCUCCUG
Zeugodacus cucurbitae (melon fly) is the source of this 1505-nucleotide long non-coding RNA. RefSeq lists it as uncharacterized. The transcript has 2 exons. Lineage: Eukaryota; Metazoa; Arthropoda; Insecta; Diptera; Tephritidae. The record is from RefSeq and is a predicted model, not a curated record.